CCUACGGGUGGCAGCAGUGGGGAAUAUUGGGCAAUGGGCGCAAGCCUGACCCAGCAAAGCCGCGUGAAGGAAGAAGGCUUUCUGGUUGUAAACUUCUUUUCUCAGGGACGAAGCAAGUGCCGGUACCUGAGGCAUAUGCCUCGGCUAACUACGUGCCAGCAGCCGCGGUAAUACGUAGGCGGCAAGCGUUAGCCGGAUUUACUGGGUGUAAAGGGCGUGUAGGUGGGGAGGUAAGUCAGAUGUGAAAACCAUGGGCUCAACCUGUGGACUGCAUUUGACACUGUGUUUCUUGAGUACAGUAGAGGAAGACGGAAUUCGUAGUGUAGCGGUGAAAUGCGGAGAGAUGAGGAGGAACACC
This 358-nucleotide ribosomal RNA is filed under the name uncultured bacterium. RNAcentral's name for it is "partial 16S ribosomal RNA". It matches the Rfam family "Bacterial small subunit ribosomal RNA", at positions 338 to 710 of the family's 1533-position model. The record is from RNAcentral.